Ficedula albicollis (Collared flycatcher) is the source of this 317-nucleotide long non-coding RNA. RefSeq lists it as uncharacterized. Lineage: Eukaryota; Metazoa; Chordata; Aves; Passeriformes; Muscicapidae. The transcript is spliced from 3 exons. The record is from RefSeq and is a predicted model, not a curated record.
UGCUCAGACAGCAGCCAGUCAGAGCAGGAGGGAUUCCAGACUUCAGGAGACAGCAGGGAGUGGGGCUGAAGCAAGGGAGAGAAGAGGAUUGUCUCAGGUGAGGGCAGUGCCCUCUGAAGCAGGACAUCUCCAUGUGGGCCUCUGUCCUUGGAUGAGGGAGGAUGGGAGGAGAAGAGAGCCAAGGCUCUGCCAGCUCCCUCUGGAGAAGUCCUGCAGGCUCCCAUUUGUGCCAUCCUGGCCAUGGCCAUGCCAUGCUGAGCCUCCUGCCCCAGGACCUGCCUGACCCUGCAGCUCUGAGCCACCAGGACCUGUGCUCC